GAAACCCGUCUUUUAUUUUUAAAAAAAAAAAUUCAUAUUAUUGAUUUAUAAUCGUUAAAAAAAACCGCGUACAACGAAGUAAGAUACACUCAGUAUAAAAUUUUGUUAUUAUGGUGACACUGAUUUUUAGCAUUUUAUUUUUGUUUACAUACAAUUAUUACGCCUUGGUAUCUACAACUACCUAGAACCUACUUGUUUGAAUGUUUUCAAAAAACUAAUCACCUAACCUAAAUUUUUAUGUUUUUUACGUUAUGAUUCAAUGAUACAUUGACAAUAUUCCCCUUAUUCUAGUAUUAUUCUACUGUGCUAUUUCGCGUUCAUACUACGUACUUUUAGUUAUUAUUUUUUAUAAUUUAUCAUACUUAAUUGCUAUUUAUUAUUUUAAAAUGGAAUAUUAUUAUACAGGAGGAAAUAAAUGUUGUUUGGCAUUCUGUCCCAGUGUUUCUUACCUGCAUAAUAAAAAAAGAAUCCGAUUUCAUAGAUUUCCAAAAACACUUACAAGGUGUGCUAUUUGGAUUGAAAAAUGUAAUCCAAUACAUUUGCCUUCGUGUGAUCCUUUAGUUCUAAAUAAAACAUAUAGGCUGUGUUCUCUACAUUUUGAAGACAAAAUGUAUACCAAUAGUAAUAAGAAUAAGCUCAGAGCCAAGGCAAUACCAACAUUGUUUAGAGAAACUGAUGUAUCAUCAUUUGAAUCAAUCAACAAUGAUGCAAAUUUCAAUGAAAACAAUAGCGCAUUUAAUUUACCAAAUUUUUCAACUUCUCUUUCAACGAGUUCCUUUUUAGUUGAACCGUCAACAUUAUCGUCAAUGCCAACAUAUCAAACACAAAAUGAAGAUAGUGAAGUCACUCAUGUUUCAACGAGUUCCUUUUUAGUUGACUCGUCAACAUUAUCGUCAAUGGCAACAUAUCAAACACAAAAUGAAGAUAGUGAAGUCACUCAUGUUUCAACGAGUUCCUUUUUAGUUGACUCGUCAACAUUAUCGUCAAUGGCAACAUAUCAAAUACCAAAUGAAGAUAGUGAAGACACUCUUGUUUCAACGAGUUCCUUUUUAGUUGACUCGUCAACAUUAUCGUCAAUGGCAACAUAUCAAACACCAAAUGAAGAUAGUGAAGACACUCUUGCGGCAACAGAUGAUGAUCUAUGAAAACUUCAACUGUCCAACUUUCACGGUUAAUGAGACACAGUCUGGUGACAGACGGACGGACAGUGGAGCCAAAGCAAUAGGGUGCCUUUUUACGCAAGUGGGUCAAUUACAACAGAGCUUGGAGACAAAAUUUUCUCUUUAAGAAGACUUAACAACCAUCCAGUUAGGCAAUCAUGUAUUUGAAUACCUAUUGCAAUAAAAAUAUUCUGGAAAGUACUUGGUGAAGGAUGUGUUCAGCAUACUGUCCGCUCUUACUAAGCAAAAAUGUUGUUUACUUAAUCAAUAGUUAGAAAUUAAGAAGGUGCUUUUGAUUAUAUCUUUCUACAAACUGCAGAACAAAGAAACAACAUUAGAAAGUUAGUAUAUCCUCCUACACUAAGAAAUCUUUUACAGCUUUGUGAACGUCUUCAAUUAGAUGAAAUGAGUCAUUCCACUACAACAUUUCUGAUUUCAAACAUCAUCAUGUUUGUAAGUAGUUAAAAAGCUAUAACAUACAUUUAUAUAAUAAUAAUUUAUAAUUUAUCAAGCAAAACAAAUAAUUGCAUACAAUCGUACAAAAAUAAAUAUUAUAAUAAAAGUAAUAACAUGUUUGUAACAUCCUUCUAGGUACAAUAUAAAGAAAAUCUAGUAUUUUUAGAACUUACUUAAAUAAAAUAUUUUGUUAAGAAAUCAUAAAUAAUGAUAUUUUUAAUUUGCUUUCAUAUUCGGCAUUUUCAUUAUUAGCAACAGAUAUGGAGAUAUUAAGUCUAAGCUAUUUAUUAAAUGUUGGUACACAAAUAUUGAUGUUUUCUUUGUAAUUGGUAUUAAAAGAAUAAUUGAGCUUGGGCACAGUAUGUUUAUAUCAAUAUUCUUUCAUAGUUAUUUUAUUUUUAUUUUUAUUCAUACAGUUAAUUAAUAUUUUGGUAUUUUAUGUAUAAAGAUUUUAUCAAUGACCACUGCUACUACUAGAUCGUACAUGUGUUGGUAUACUUUCUUACUAACAUUGAUUUCAUUAAAACAAUUGAGUUUGAAUUACAAAAUGUAAUUUACUCUAAAUAAGACUAUUUAUUGAUAAAAUCAUAAACUAUAAUCAUUUUUCUUUAGAUGUGAGAAUAGCUGGUUGUAAUGGAACCUUUGAAACAACAGUUUCAAAAACUUUAAAUGGGGAUUGCUAUUACCUGUUUGCUUUUCAAAUUAUUUACAAAAAUAUUGUUUUUACCAUUAACUGUAUACAUUACUUCUCUAGUAUAACUAUAUUAUUCUUACCGAGUUUCCCCCCUUCAGCGUAUGCAUUAUUGACUGGUAAAACGGAAGAAAUAUAUUUGGCAUUAUUCCAAAUUGUCAGUAAAAUUUUACCAUUAGAUUACCCUAAUCUAACAAUAAUCAAAGAUUUUUAGCUAGCCCAAAUCAAUGCAAUUAAACUAAUAUUCAAAGAAAGCGUUCACCAAGGUUGCUAUUUUCAUUUUUGUCAAGUAAUGAAUUUAUCCGGAGGUAGCUGAUGCAUUUCACUCAUUUAUUACAUAAUUAUGUUUUUAGUUUGUGCAAAUUCAUCCAAAGAGACUUACUAUCUUCAAUCAGAUUAUUAGGACAAACAAAUAUGUAGAAAGCUUUCACACUGCUCUUUUGAGGUUUAUUAAAACUCAUCCAAAAGUUUAUGAGUUCAUUGGUACAGUUUAAUAUGUCUGUGGAUUGCUUGUGUUUAUUUAUUUGUUAUGUGACUUAAAAUUGCUGGUUAAGUGGAAAGUCUAUGGCGUCUAUGCUAAUACAACUAUAAUAUGUUUGUUUAUUUGUAGUUAAAAAAAGUUUUAGAUAGAAAAAAAA
Aphis gossypii (cotton aphid) is the source of this 2945-nucleotide RNA transcript. RefSeq lists it as uncharacterized. The record is from RefSeq and is a predicted model, not a curated record. Lineage: Eukaryota; Metazoa; Arthropoda; Insecta; Hemiptera; Aphididae. The transcript is spliced from 10 exons.